GGGCCCUUAGCUUAGUCUGGUUAGAGCACUCGGCUCAUAACCGAGUGGUCGGUGGUUCAAAUCCGCCAGGGCCCA
RNAcentral lists this transfer RNA (75 nucleotides) under Halorubellus sp. JP-L1. RNAcentral's name for it is "tRNA-Ile". It matches the Rfam family "tRNA". Rfam says of the family: Transfer RNA (tRNA) molecules are approximately 80 nucleotides in length. Their secondary structure includes four short double-helical elements and three loops (D, anti-codon, and T loops). The record is from RNAcentral. Lineage: Archaea; Methanobacteriati; Methanobacteriota; Halobacteria; Halobacteriales; Halorubellaceae.